UGGCUCCCGGAUGUUAGCGGCGGACGGGUGAGUAACACGUGGGUAACCUGCCUGUAAGACUGGGAUAACUCCGGGAAACCGGAGCUAAUACCGGAUAGUUCCUUGAACCGCAUGGUUCAAGGAUGAAAGACGGUUUCGGCUGUCACUUACAGAUGGACCCGCGGCGCAUUAGCUAGUUGGUGAGGUAACGGCUCACCAAGGCGACGAUGCGUAGCCGACCUGAGAGGGUGAUCGGCCACACUGGGACUGAGACACGGCCCAGACUCCUACGGGAGGCAGCAGUAGGGAAUCUUCCGCAAUGGACGAAAGUCUGACGGAGCAACGCCGCGUGAGUGAUGAAGGUUUUCGGAUCGUAAAGCUCUGUUGUUAGGGAAGAACAAGUGCAAGAGUAACUGCUUGCACCUUGACGGUACCUAACCAGAAAGCCACGGCUAACUACGUGCCAGCA
Molecule: ribosomal RNA, 448 nt
Filed under: Bacillus sp. R11.22
Lineage: Bacteria; Bacillati; Bacillota; Bacilli; Caryophanales; Bacillaceae
Description: bacterial SSU rRNA
Rfam family: Bacterial small subunit ribosomal RNA
Source: RNAcentral